UUCUGGCUUAGUUAGGAGGCGCAUACGGAUGGGCAAUGUGAUGUCCACUUGGGCCUUUUGAGGGAGCGCCUUGUAAACCAUAAUUCGCGAUGCUCCCCAAGCAGCUCUAGACAUUC
This 116-nucleotide small nucleolar RNA is filed under the name Oryza brachyantha (malo sina). RNAcentral describes it as "Small nucleolar RNA U19". It matches the Rfam family "Small nucleolar RNA U19". The record is from Rfam by way of RNAcentral. Lineage: Eukaryota; Viridiplantae; Streptophyta; Magnoliopsida; Poales; Poaceae.